This 256-nucleotide unclassified non-coding RNA is filed under the name Hevea brasiliensis (rubber tree). The record is from RNAcentral. Lineage: Eukaryota; Viridiplantae; Streptophyta; Magnoliopsida; Malpighiales; Euphorbiaceae.
CAAAAAGGGGCCUUUGGGAACUAUAUGGAUUGCAGCACAUUUGGAGAGGAAACUUCGGAAGAAUCAAGUUGCUGAUACUGAUAUUGGCGUCUCUGUUGAUUCAAUCCUUUUUCCUGAUGUACCGAUUGCAUUGCGAUUAUCUAGCCAUCUUCUGCUUGGAGUUGUGAGGAUAUAUUCUCGAAAGGUGGGUUAUCUAUUUGAUGAUUGCAGCGAGGCUUUGCUAAAAGUCAAGCAAGCUUUUCGCUCCACUGCUGUG